AUGAAGAUCACGGUGCGGGGAUCGACGGUCGUGGUGCCGGCGGAGGAGACGCCGCGGCUCCGGCUGUGGAACGCCAACCCGGACCUGGUCGUGCCGCGGUUCCACACGCCGAGCGUCUACUUCUUCCGGCGCGGCGCGGGGGAGGAGGAGGCGGACGGCUACUUCGACGCGGAGCGGAUGCGCCGGGCGCUGGCGGAGGCGCUGGUGCCGUUCUACCCGAUGGCGGGGCGGCUGGCCCGCGACGAGGACGGGCGCGUGGAGAUCGACUGCAACGCGGAAGGGGUGCUCUUCGUGGAGGCCGACGCGCCCGACGGCACCGUCGACGACUUCGGCGACUUCGCGCCCACCAUGGACCUCAAGCGCCUCAUCCCCGCCGUCGACUUCACCGGGGGCAUCUCCUCCUACCCGCUCCUCGUGGUCCAGGUGACCCACUUCAAGUGCGGAGGCGUCGCCCUCGGCAUAGGCAUGCAGCACCACGUCGCCGACGGCUUCUCCGGCCUGCACUUCAUCAACUCAUGGGCCGACCUCUGCCGCGGCGUGCCGAUUGCCGUCAUGCCGUUCAUUGACCGCACCCUCCUCCGCGCACGCGACCCGCCGACGCCGUCCCAUCCGCACAUCGAGUACCAGCCAGCGCCCGCCAUGCUGGACGCGGAGGAGCCGCAGGCCCUCACCGCCAAGCCGGAAGCGCGGCCCACGGCCGUGGACAUCUUCAAGCUUUCCCGCGCCGACCUCGGCCGCCUCCGCGCCCAGCUCCCCACUGGCGAGGGCGCGCCGCGGUUCAGCACCUACGCGGUGCUCGGGGCGCACGUCUGGCGGUGCGCGUCCCUGGCCCGUGGCCUGUCCCCAGAGCAGCCCACCAAGCUGUACUGCGCCACGGACGGGCGGCAGCGGCUGCAGCCGCCGCUCCCGGAGGGCUACUUCGGCAACGUCAUCUUCACGGCCACGCCGCUCGCGGUGGCGGGCAAGGUGACCGGCUCGCUGGCGGACGGCGCGACCACGAUCCAGGCGGCGCUGGAGGUUAUGGACAACGAGUACUGCCGCUCGGCGCUGGACUACCUGGAGAUGCAGCCGGACCUGUCGGCGCUGGUCCGCGGCGCGCACACGUUCCGGUGCCCCAACCUCGGGCUCACCAGCUGGGUGCGCCUGCCCAUCCACGAUGCCGACUUCGGCUGGGGCCGGCCCGUCUUCAUGGGCCCCGGCGGCAUCGCGUACGAGGGGCUCGCAUUCGUGCUCCCCAGCGCCAGCCGCGACGGCAGCCUGUCGGUGGCCAUCUCGCUGCAGGCCGAGCAUAUGGAGAAGUUCCGGAAGAUGAUCUUUGACUUCUGA
Molecule: ribosomal RNA, 1326 nt
Filed under: Triticum aestivum (bread wheat)
Lineage: Eukaryota; Viridiplantae; Streptophyta; Magnoliopsida; Poales; Poaceae
Description: partial small subunit ribosomal RNA
Source: RNAcentral